GGGGGCGUAAAGGUUUCGACGGGGAUCAAGAAUCAUGAGAAGCGGGCAGUGGUGAGGACCCACUAUAAAAUCUUCAAAAACAAUAGCUGACAAUAAUAAAUUAGCUUUAGCGGCUUAAUUAUAGCCGCUCGUCGUGACCGUUGAGUACUGCGUAGACGGUUGUGGCGUAAUAUUUAGCAGUGAACGUGAGCGGUCCAAAGCUUUGCGGAGCGCCAUGAACUUAUGAAGCUACCGACUCGGCGGCCUGACUAUCGGCCUGCCGACGGGGGAAUCCUGUAGAUAGUCUGCGCCCGGAGAUGCCCAUGGGGAAAGGUUUUCGGACGCGGGUUCAAUUCCCGCCGCCUCCACCA
RNAcentral lists this transfer-messenger RNA (350 nucleotides) under Oscillospiraceae. RNAcentral's name for it is "WRIP01 sp012520915 Standard tmRNA". It matches the Rfam family "transfer-messenger RNA". Rfam says of the family: Bacterial tmRNA, also known as 10Sa RNA or SsrA, is named for its dual tRNA and mRNA-like properties. Lineage: Bacteria; Bacillati; Bacillota; Clostridia; Eubacteriales. The record is from RNAcentral.